GCGAGAUUGGUGGAAUUGGUAGACACGUUGGUUUUAGAAACCAAUGCCAAAAGCGUAAGAGUUCAAGUCUCUUAUCUCGCACCA
RNAcentral lists this transfer RNA (84 nucleotides) under Vibrio phage 12E28.1. RNAcentral describes it as "tRNA-Leu". It matches the Rfam family "tRNA". Rfam says of the family: Transfer RNA (tRNA) molecules are approximately 80 nucleotides in length. Their secondary structure includes four short double-helical elements and three loops (D, anti-codon, and T loops). Further hydrogen bonds mediate the characteristic L-shaped molecular structure. tRNAs have two regions of fundamental functional importance: the anti-codon, which is responsible for specific mRNA codon recognition, and the 3' end, to which the tRNAs corresponding amino acid is attached (by aminoacyl-tRNA synthetases). tRNAs cope with the degeneracy of the genetic code in two manners: having more than one tRNA (with a specific anti-codon) for a particular amino acid; and 'wobble' base-pairing, i.e. permitting non-standard base-pairing at the 3rd anti-codon position. RNAcentral also lists the same sequence under 187 other names. The record is from RNAcentral. Lineage: Duplodnaviria; Heunggongvirae; Uroviricota; Caudoviricetes.